RNAcentral lists this ribosomal RNA (490 nucleotides) under uncultured bacterium. RNAcentral describes it as "partial 16S ribosomal RNA". It matches the Rfam family "Bacterial small subunit ribosomal RNA", at positions 29 to 507 of the family's 1533-position model. The record is from RNAcentral.
AGUGAACGCUGGCGGCAGGCCUAACACAUGCAAGUCGAAUGGUAACAGGAAACAGCUUGCUGUUUCGCUGACGAGUGGCGGACGGGUGAGUAAUGUCUGGGAAACUGCCUGAUGGAGGGGGAUAACUACUGGAAACGGUAGCUAAUACCGCAUAACGUCGCAAGACCAAAGAGGGGGACCUUCGGGCCUCUUGCCAUCAGAUGUGCCCAGAUGGGAUUAGCUAGUAGGUGGGGUAACGGCUCACCUAGGCGACGAUCCCUAGCUGGUCUGAGAGGAUGACCAGCCACACUGGAACUGAGACACGGUCCAGACUCCUACGGGAGGCAGCAGUGGGGAAUAUUGCACAAUGGGCGCAAGCCUGAUGCAGCCAUGCCGCGUGUAUGAAGAAGGCCUUCGGGUUGUAAAGUACUUUCAGCGGGGAGGAAGGGAGUAAAGUUAAUACCUUUGCUCAUUGACGUUACCCGCAGAAGAAGCACCGGCUAACUCCGUG